RNAcentral lists this ribosomal RNA (233 nucleotides) under uncultured bacterium. RNAcentral's name for it is "partial 16S ribosomal RNA". It matches the Rfam family "Bacterial small subunit ribosomal RNA", at positions 100 to 334 of the family's 1533-position model. The record is from RNAcentral.
CGGGACGGGUGAGUAAUGUCUGGGAAACUGCCUGAUGGAGGGGGAUAACUACUGGAAACGGUAGCUAAUACCGCAUAACGUCGCAAGACCAAAGAGGGGGACCUUCGGGCCUCUUGCCAUCGGAUGUGCCCAGAUGGGAUUAGCUGGUAGGUGGGGUAACGGCUCACCUAGGCGACGAUCCCUAGCUGGUCUGAGAGGAUGACCAGCCACACUGGAACUGAGACACGGUCCAG